RNAcentral lists this ribosomal RNA (925 nucleotides) under uncultured bacterium. Its description in RNAcentral is "bacterial SSU rRNA". It matches the Rfam family "Bacterial small subunit ribosomal RNA", at positions 70 to 990 of the family's 1533-position model. The record is from RNAcentral.
CAUUUCUAGCUUGCUAGAAGAUGACGAGCGGCGGACGGGUGAGUAAUACUUGGGGAUCUGCCUGAUGGCGGGGGACAACCACUGGAAACGGUGGCUAAUACCGCAUAAUGCCUACGGGCCAAAGUGUGGGACCUUCGGGCCACAUGCCAUCAGAUGAACCCAAGCGAGAUUAGCUAGUUGGUGAGGUAACGGCUCACCAAGGCGACGAUCUCUAGCUGGUCUGAGAGGAUGAUCAGCCACACUGGGACUGAGACACGGCCCAGACUCCUACGGGAGGCAGCAGUGGGGAAUAUUGGACAAUGGGCGCAAGCCUGAUCCAGCCAUGCCGCGUGUGUGAAGAAGGCCUUCGGGUUGUAAAGCACUUUCAGUGGUGAGGAAGGCCUUGUAGUUAAUAGCUGCAAGGAUUGACGUUAGCCACAGAAGAAGCACCGGCUAACUCCGUGCCAGCAGCCGCGGUAAUACGGAGGGUGCGAGCGUUAAUCGGAAUUACUGGGCGUAAAGCGCACGUAGGCGGUUUGUUAAGCAAGAUGUGAAAGCCCAGGGCUCAACCUUGGAAUUGCAUUUUGAACUGGCAAGCUAGAGUUUUGAAGAGGGUGGUAGAAUUUCCAGUGUAGCGGUGAAAUGCGUAGAUAUUGGAAGGAAUACCAGUGGCGAAGGCGGCCACCUGGUCAAAAACUGACGCUGAGGAGCGAAAGCGUGGGGAGCAAACAGGAUUAGAUACCCUGGUAGUCCACGCCGUAAACGAUGUCAACUAGUUGUUCGUGUCUUUGAGACGUGAGUAACGCAGCUAACGCACUAAGUUGACCGCCUGGGGAGUACGGCGCAAGGUUAAAACUCAAAUGAAUUGACGGGGGCCCGCACAAGCGGUGGAGCAUGUGGUUUAAUUCGAUGCAACGCGAAGAACCUUACCAUCCCUUGACAUCCA